This 293-nucleotide ribosomal RNA is filed under the name uncultured bacterium. Its description in RNAcentral is "partial 16S ribosomal RNA". It matches the Rfam family "Archaeal small subunit ribosomal RNA", at positions 455 to 747 of the family's 1478-position model. The record is from RNAcentral.
GUGCCAGCCGCCGCGGUAAUACCGGCAGCCCGAGUGAUGGCCGAUCUUAUUGGGCCUAAAGCGUCCGUAGCUGGCCGCGCAAGUCCGUCGGGAAAUCCAUCAGCCCAACUGAUGGGCGUCCGGCGGAAACUGCACGGCUUGGGACCGGAAGGCUCGAGAGGUACGUCCGGGGUAGGAGUGAAAUCCCGUAAUCCUGGACGGACCACCGAUGGCGAAAGCACCUUGGAAGGACGGAUCCGACAGUGAGGGACGAAAGCCAGGGUCUCCAACCGGAUUAGAUACCCGGGUAGUCC